GCGGGGCCAUGUGGAGUUUGUUAUGAAGAGUGGAGUGGUGUCUGUUGUCGCGACCUGUUGGAGAGUGGUGGGGCCACAUGGAGUUUGUUACGGAGAGGAGUGGUGUUUAUUGUCGUGACCUGUCGGAGAGUGGUGGGGCCACAUGGAAUUUAUUACGGAGAGGAGUGGUGUUCGUUGUCGCGACACGCCAGGAAGUUCGGGCCGGAUGGCUGAAGCUCGGUUGGAUUUCUGGUGGAGCGGAAUAGCUCUCUGUCACAGCAAUCUUGGAGAAGGUUGGAUGUCUCCGAGGUUGCAG
This 295-nucleotide long non-coding RNA is filed under the name Elaeis guineensis (African oil palm). RNAcentral describes it as "long non-coding RNA (EGUI_LNC077176)". The record is from RNAcentral. Lineage: Eukaryota; Viridiplantae; Streptophyta; Magnoliopsida; Arecales; Arecaceae.